This 253-nucleotide ribosomal RNA is filed under the name uncultured bacterium. RNAcentral describes it as "partial 16S ribosomal RNA". It matches the Rfam family "Bacterial small subunit ribosomal RNA", at positions 524 to 776 of the family's 1533-position model. The record is from RNAcentral.
UACGGAGGGUGCAAGCGUUGUUCGGAAUCACUGGGCGUAAAGGGCGUGUAGGCGGUCCGCUAAGUCCGCUGUGAAAUCUCGAGGCUCAACUUCGAGCUGUCGGUGGAAACUGUCUGGCUAGAGUCCGGAAGAGGAGAAUGGAAUUCCUGGUGUAGCGGUGAAAUGCGCAGAUAUCAGGAAGAACACCCGUGGCGAAGGCGGUUCUCUGGGACGGUACUGACGCUGAGACGCGAAAGCGUGGGGAGCGAACAGG